RNAcentral lists this ribosomal RNA (497 nucleotides) under uncultured bacterium. RNAcentral describes it as "partial 16S ribosomal RNA". It matches the Rfam family "Bacterial small subunit ribosomal RNA", at positions 28 to 507 of the family's 1533-position model. The record is from RNAcentral.
GAUGAACGCUGGCGGCGUGCCUAAUACAUGCAAGUCGAGCGAACAGACGAGGAGCUUGCUCCUCUGACGUUAGCGGCGGACGGGUGAGUAACACGUGGAUAACCUACCUAUAAGACUGGGAUAACUUCGGGAAACCGGAGCUAAUACCGGAUAAUAUAUUGAACCGCAUGGUUCAAUAGUGAAAGACGGUUUUGCUGUCACUUAUAGAUGGAUCCGCGCCGCAUUAGCUAGUUGGUAAGGUAACGGCUUACCAAGGCAACGAUGCGUAGCCGACCUGAGAGGGUGAUCGGCCACACUGGAACGGAGACACGGUCCAGACUCCUACGGGAGGCAGCGGUAGGGAAUCUUCCGCAAUGGGCGAAAGCCUGACGGAGCAACGCCGCGUGAGUGAUGAAGGUCUUCGGAUCGUAAAACUCUGUUAUUAGGGAAGAACAAAUGUGUAAGUAACUAUGCACGUCUUGACGGUACCUAAUCAGAAAGCCACGGCUAACUACGUG